GGGCAGAUGGUGAAAUUGGUAGACACGCUAGCCUUAGGAGCUAGUGCCGCAAGGCAUGAGAGUUCGAGUCUCUCUCUGCCCACAA
Molecule: transfer RNA, 85 nt
Filed under: Candidatus Falkowbacteria bacterium CG10_big_fil_rev_8_21_14_0_10_43_10
Lineage: Bacteria; Candidatus Falkowiibacteriota
Description: tRNA-Leu
Rfam family: tRNA
About the family: Transfer RNA (tRNA) molecules are approximately 80 nucleotides in length. Their secondary structure includes four short double-helical elements and three loops (D, anti-codon, and T loops).
Source: RNAcentral